GAUGAACGCUGGCGGCGUGCCUAACACAUGCAAGUCGAACGGAGUUAUGCAGAGGAAGUUUUCGGAUGGAAUCGGCGUAACUUAGUGGCGGACGGGUGAGUAACGCGUGGGAAACCUGCCCUGUACCGGGGGAUAACACUUAGAAAUAGGUGCUAAUACCGCAUAAGCGCACAGCUUCACAUGAAGCAGUGUGAAAAACUCCGGUGGUACAGGAUGGUCCCGCGUCUGAUUAGCCAGUUGGCAGGGUAACGGCCUACCAAAGCGACGAUCAGUAGCCGGCCUGAGAGGGUGAACGGCCACAUUGGGACUGAGACACGGCCCAAACUCCUACGGGAGGCAGCAGUGGGGAAUAUUGCACAAUGGGGGAAACCCUGAUGCAGCGACGCCGCGUGAGUGAAGAAGUAUUUCGGUAUGUAAAGCUCUAUCAGCAGGGAA
RNAcentral lists this ribosomal RNA (435 nucleotides) under uncultured bacterium. RNAcentral describes it as "bacterial SSU rRNA". It matches the Rfam family "Bacterial small subunit ribosomal RNA", at positions 28 to 446 of the family's 1533-position model. The record is from RNAcentral.